GAACAAGGGAAUGGCUAAAUACCAUAAACAUUUGCACCAUCAAAUUUCCCUAGUAAAUGAGCAAAGAUGACAAAAGUGAGGAAUAUUCAGUGUCACAGCAGCUGUGAAGAGAGAGUCACACCGAGGCACUGCUGAGGAAUGUGCACAUUGGUCUAAGUAUUCUGGAAAACAAUCUGAAAUAAUGAGCAUAUCUUGUUAGGCAGGAGAAAGAGAUGAAAUGGGAAAUUAAGUAACUGAUACACCAAAUUAUCCUUAAGAACUGUUCCCUGCUUGUGCUGAGAUCUGUGCCUUCACCCUCGGUUUGAGACUCUCCUCGGAACCUAAUUUCUCUCCCCGUCUGCGCCGAUCUCCCCCCUGGCCCCGGAACCAACCUUUUGGUGAGACUGCAGAUUUUCUUCGGCCG
Molecule: long non-coding RNA, 403 nt
Filed under: Sarcophilus harrisii (Tasmanian devil)
Lineage: Eukaryota; Metazoa; Chordata; Mammalia; Dasyuromorphia; Dasyuridae
Description: lncRNA (ENSSHAG00000030135.1)
Source: RNAcentral